GAGGAAUAUUGGUCAAUGGACGAGAGUCUGAACCAGCCAAGUAGCGUGAAGGAUGACUGCCCUAUGGGUUGUAAACUUCUUUUAUACGGGAAUAAAGUGAGGCACGUGUGCCUUUUUGUAUGUACCGUAUGAAUAAGGAUCGGCUAACUCCGUGCCAGCAGCCGCGGUAAUACGGAGGAUCCGAGCGUUAUCCGGAUUUAUUGGGUUUAAAGGGAGCGUAGGCGGACGCUUAAGUCAGUUGUGAAAGUUUGCGGCUCAACCGUAAAAUUGCAGUUGAUACUGGGUGUCUUGAGUACAGUAGAGGCAGGCGGAAUUCGUGGUGUAGCGGUGAAAUGCUUAGAUAUCACGAAGAACUCCGAUUGCGAAGGCAGCUUGCUGGACUGUAACUGACGCUGAUGCUCGAAAGUGUGGGUAUCAAACAGGAUUAGAUACCCUGGUAGUCCACACAGUAAACGAUGAAUACUCGCUGUUUGCGAUAUACAGUAAGCGGCCAAGCGAAAGCGUUAAGUAUUCCACCUGGGGAGUACGCCGGCAACGGUGAAACUCAAAGGAAUUGACGGGGGCCCGCACAAGCGGAGGAACAUGUGGUUUAAUUCGAUGAUACGCGAGGAACCUUACCCGGGCUUGAAUUGCAACUGAAUGAUGUGGAGACAUGUCAGCCGCAAGGCAGUUGUGAAGGUGCUGCAUGGUUGUCGUCAGCUCGUGCCGUGAGGUGUCGGCUUAAGUGCCAUAACGAGCGCAACCCUUAUCGAUAGUUACCAUCAGGUUAUGCUGGGGACUCUGUCGAGACUGCCGUCGUAAGAUGUGAGGAAGGUGGGGAUGACGUCAAAUCAGCACGGUCCUUACGUCCGGGGCUACACACGUGUUACAAUGGGGGGUACAGAAGGCAGCUACACGGCGACGUGAUGCUAAUCCCGAAAGCCUCUCUCAGUUCGGAUUGGAGUCUGCAACCCGACUCCAUGAAGCUGGAUUCGCUAGUAAUCGCGCAUCAGCCACGGCGCGGUGAAUACGUUCCCG
RNAcentral lists this ribosomal RNA (1017 nucleotides) under uncultured organism. RNAcentral's name for it is "bacterial SSU rRNA". It matches the Rfam family "Bacterial small subunit ribosomal RNA", at positions 356 to 1376 of the family's 1533-position model. The record is from RNAcentral.